RNAcentral lists this long non-coding RNA (2510 nucleotides) under Hordeum vulgare. RNAcentral's name for it is "long non-coding RNA (HVUL_LNC000292)". Lineage: Eukaryota; Viridiplantae; Streptophyta; Magnoliopsida; Poales; Poaceae. The record is from RNAcentral.
UUGAACAAUCAGCAUCAUCAUCCCAUUGCUCAAGCACUACUCAUACGCUCGCCGGCAUAUACGUAUACGUUGUUGGUUGUUCGUUAGCUCGUCGUCAUCUUCGUCGCCGCCGGCCACUCGACGUUGUCGCCGCCGGUUGCGCCACUCUUCGUCGACCACACAGCUCGACGGCGGCUCCUAGCGUCGUCGUCACUAGCCGUCCGCUUGUCGACAUCGUCGCCGGCCGUUCGUCUCGUCGUCGUCGUCGUCGCCGGCUGCUCAUCUGCAUCUUGCUCCUUCACACAUACACAUACGUAAGGACAUCCAAGGCAAGGUAAGAUUUCAUGGCUGCAUCCACGCUCGUCAUAUCUGAAUAGAAUAUAUAUCAUGCACACACAUGUUCUAACUUGUCCAAUUAAAUUAGGCCUUGUUCGGUCAUAUGGUUACUCCAGUUUCCAUGUAGAUACGAAUUAAGGAUAGAAAUACAAGAUUACUCAAACUAAUUUAAUUAUGUGGAUAAAACUUUAUUGUGUAUAUACAUAUGUAUUGCCUAAAAUUAAUAUGCCCCUUGUUUGGUCACAUGACGACUCCGGUCUCAUGCUGAUACAAAUUGAGUAUUGGAAUAAGAAAUCAAACGCACAUGGUAUGACUAAAUUAAGUUUACCUUGAUUGAUCUCCAUGUUGAUACAAAUCAAGGAAACAAACCAAAUCCCUCGUUUGGUCUCACAGUGAUCUUUGGUUCUAUGUAGAUACAAAUUAGGUGCACAUAAUAAAAUUCUUCUUGAUUUGAUCUCAUGGUGAUUCCGAUCCCAUGCUGAUACAAAUCAAGAAUAAAAGUAGAAAUAAACACAAUAUAAUGUCUUCGCUGAUAGAAAUUGGACAUAUUUGCUCCAUAUAAAAUCAUAGGCUAGUUUAAUCAAAUAUUGCUAGCCAUAUAGGUAUGAUCAAAUGAAACAUUGUUGCAUGUUGUUCCACUUGCAUAUUUUAACCAAAGAAAAUUGUGCAUUCCCUUAUGUGAUGCAUGUAUAAGCUAAAUGAAUCGUGUGAGAGAUAAUUUCUCUAUAUGGAUUUUUUUUGCGCUAGAAAUAACAUAGCGCAUUGCAAUAUUUGUUCCAAGCAAUGGAUGUCAUACAUGACAAUUUCUCAUGCAUUGUUUAGUCCCAUAUAGCUAAACAGAAUCGAUAAUUGUCAUCAUGCCCAUGUAAAUAUAAAUUGACACAUACUCCAAGUUUGGUUUCAUUACAAGCAUAUGCUCUAUGCCUUGGUAGUGAUAAUACAAACAAAGAGAAAUCACCAUGCUUCAUUCGAUUAUGCUAUCCGUGGACAUAUUGUUACACGGUGCUAGUCAUAAUACGGGUGAAGUGAAACUUAAUCAAAAUACCCAUAUAGACAUGUCACUAGUCCCCAUAUAAAACUAGUGCAUUAACGUAGGUGUUGGAAUCAUAUUACACCGCAAAGUCCAUGCAUAUACGCAAUGUAAAUGUCACAUGCUUAUAAAUUGACAUUUGCUUCAAGUUUGGUUACACCACAAGUAUAUACUCUAUGCUUUGCUGGUGAUAAUACAAGCAAGAAGAAAUCACCAAACUCCUCUUGAUUAGGCUACACAUGGGCACAAUGUUGGUACAUGAUGCUAGUACUAAUACAAGUGAAGCCAAACUUUAUAAAAUAUUCUCAUAAUUCUGACAUCUAAAAUCACACUAGUCCUAUAUGAUAUAAUAAAGAACUAGUAUGGGUAAGGUGCAUGUAGGCAAUCAACUUACAUGUCAAAAGGAUAAUCCCAUAUAAAUCAAAAUCAAACCAUGAGCUCUAUAUAAGUGCAUGCAUAUUAAAAUAUACAAAUGCAUGUACAAAAUGAACUUACAUGUUAUAAGAUAACCUCAUAUAGAUCAAAAUUAAACCAUGCACUCCUCUCACAUAGGUGCAUAUGCCCAUAAAAUUAAAUGAUGACUAGAAUCAUAGCCUAUGUUACUUGCACUAAACGUAACUUAGUGCAUCAUCAUCUCCCAUAUAGCCUCCUCAUAUGUGGCUUGCCAAAAUAUAUCCAUUGUCCUAAAAUGGACAUGAUAUUCUCUAAAUUCCAUGCAUUCACACAUAAUCAAAUGCAUGAUAACUCAUAAAAAAGAGUUAUGCCCUAUAUUGCACAUAUGCUUGUUAAACCCGCUAGUUAACCAUUAAAUUAUCGUCAUAUUACCCAAAAAUAUAAAGCACUACUUAUACCAAAAUUUCCAAUGGUUAAUGAACUAGGUAAAAAAUAUCCAAAUCAUGCACGUGCAAUAUAUUAAAUUAUUAAAUAUCUUAUGAUGUAAACAAAUCAAAUGGUAAAUAUUAUGCUACCCAUAUGUUAGCAUAAACAUUCUUCAUGGCUCCCCGAAUGCGCCGACAUCGACGACAGCGCAGAGGAUCUUUUGUUUCUACAUUUUGUAGUUUUUCUUUUCUACACUUUGUAGUGAUCGUAUGUUGUAAUCCUAUGUAAUAAUUAUGUUGGAAUUCUUAAUCACGGGUUUUUUCUUUGGAGAUGUAAUUAACAGAUC